CAGCCCCUCGAGUGGUGGGGAUGAUUAUUUGGCCUAAAGCGUCCGUAGCCGGCCGAGUAAGUCUUCCGUUAAAUCCAGCGUCUCAAGCGUUGGACCGCGGGAGAUACUACAUGGCUAGAGAGUGGGAGAGGUCAGCGGUAUUCUGGGGGUAAGGGCGAAAUCUUUUGAUCCCCGGAGGACCACCAGUGGCGAAGGCUGCUGACUAGAACACGUCUGACGGUCAGGGACGAAAGCUGGGGUAGCGAACCGGAUUAGAUACCCGUGUAGUCC
This 270-nucleotide ribosomal RNA is filed under the name uncultured archaeon. RNAcentral's name for it is "partial 16S ribosomal RNA". It matches the Rfam family "Archaeal small subunit ribosomal RNA", at positions 477 to 747 of the family's 1478-position model. The record is from RNAcentral.